RNAcentral lists this ribosomal RNA (492 nucleotides) under uncultured bacterium. RNAcentral describes it as "partial 16S ribosomal RNA". It matches the Rfam family "Bacterial small subunit ribosomal RNA", at positions 29 to 507 of the family's 1533-position model. The record is from RNAcentral.
AGUGAACGCUGGCGGUAGGCCUAACACAUGCAAGUCGAACGGCAGCACAGUAAGAGCUUGCUCUUACGGGUGGCGAGUGGCGGACGAGUGAGGAAUACAUCGGAAUCUACUUUUUCGUGGGGGAUAACGUAGGGAAACUUACGCUAAUACCGCAUACGACCUACGGGUGAAAGCAGGGGAUCUUCGGACCUUGCGCGAUUGAAUGAGCCGAUGUCGGAUUAGCUAGUUGGCGGGGUAAAGGCCCACCAAGGCGACGAUCCGUAGCUGGUCUGAGAGGAUGAUCAGCCACACUGGAACUGAGACACGAUCCAGACUCCUACGGGAGGCAGCAGUGGGGAAUAUUGGACAAUGGGCGCAAGCCUGAUCCAGCCAUACCGCGUGGGUGAAGAAGGCCUUCGGGUUGUAAAGCCCUUUUGUUGGGAAAGAAAAGCAGCAGGUUAAUACCCCGCUGUUCUGACGGUACCCAAAGAAUAAGCACCGGCUAACUUCGUG